Molecule: long non-coding RNA, 532 nt
Organism: Contarinia nasturtii (swede midge)
Lineage: Eukaryota; Metazoa; Arthropoda; Insecta; Diptera; Cecidomyiidae
Exons: 3
Source: RefSeq, a predicted model, not a curated record
CUGACAAACAUUUCAAUUAAAUACGUAUUUCGAAUGUUUUGAAUCUCUAUCUCUCACUUUUUGUUCUGUUCUGUAUUGUUCCAUUCGGUGGGAUCAUCAUAACAAUAAAAAAACCAAAAAAACAUACAUACACACGCACGCCAAAUGAAGCCUUUGAACAUUUCUUACUCAUUCAACCUGAACACGCUUGCAAGUUUGGCUUAUGUAAAAAGAAAUCCACACACUCAUCAUUAUAUUCCAGCGAAAUAAAUGAGCAGCCACAGAAAGGAAUUUUCCAUUCAUCAUCGUCAUGCCAAGAGUCAAUUACAUGGAAGUAACUCAUCAUUAAACCGUUAUUCCUGAUUUGCCGUAAAAUGUAAAUGUUCAUUUGUCGAUUGGCAAUCAAAGUCAUAAACAAUCAUAAUUCCAGUAAUGAAGAGCCAAGAGAGCGAAUAAGCGAUAGAAAAUAGCAACAUUCUAUUGAAGCAUCGUGCUCAAGUCCAUGCGAUGACUUUUCAUUUAUUGCACACGCGUGUACAAUGCAAAAAAAAAA